AAUGGUUGGAAAUCAUUCAUAGAGUGUAAAGGCAUAAGGGAGCUUGACUGCGAGACCUACAAGUCGAGCAGGGUCGAAAGACGGACUUAGUGAUCCGGUGGUUCCGCAUGGAAGGGCCAUCGCUCAACGGAUAAAAGCUACCCCGGGGAUAACAGGCUUAUCUCCCCCAAGAGUUCACAUCGACGGGGAGGUUUGGCACCUCGAUGUCGGCUCAUCGCAUCCUGGGGCUGUAGUCGGUCCCAAGGGUUGGGCUGUUCGCCCAUUAAAGCGGUACGCGAGCUGGGUUCAGAACGUCGUGAGACAGUUCGGUCCCUAUCCGUCGUGGGCGUAGGAAAUUUGAGAGGAGCUGUCCUUAGUACGAGAGGACCGGGAUGGACAUACCUCUGGUGUACCAGUUGUCGUGCCAACGGCAUAGCUGGGUAGCUAUGUGUGGACGGGAUAAGUGCUGAAAGCAUCUAAGCAUGAAGCCCCCCUCAAGAUGAGAUUUCCCAACUUCGGUUAUAAGAUCCCUCAAAGAUGAUGAGGUUAAUAGGUUCGAGGUGGAAGCAUGGUGACAUGUGGAGCUGACGAAUACUAAUCGAUCGAAGACUUAAUCAAAA
This 599-nucleotide ribosomal RNA is filed under the name Streptomyces malaysiensis subsp. malaysiensis. RNAcentral describes it as "partial 23S ribosomal RNA". It matches the Rfam family "Bacterial large subunit ribosomal RNA", at positions 2326 to 2925 of the family's 2925-position model. The record is from RNAcentral. Lineage: Bacteria; Bacillati; Actinomycetota; Actinomycetes; Kitasatosporales; Streptomycetaceae.